Molecule: ribosomal RNA, 253 nt
Filed under: uncultured bacterium
Lineage: Bacteria
Description: partial 16S ribosomal RNA
Rfam family: Bacterial small subunit ribosomal RNA
Source: RNAcentral
UACGAAGGGGGCUAGCGUUGCUCGGAAUCACUGGGCGUAAAGCGCACGUAGGCGGAUUGUUAAGUCGGGGGUGAAAUCCUGGAGCUCAACUCCAGAACUGCCUUCGAUACUGGCGAUCUUGAGUCCGGGAGAGGUGAGUGGAACUGCGAGUGUAGAGGUGAAAUUCGUAGAUAUUCGCAAGAACACCAGUGGCGAAGGCGGCUCACUGGCCCGGUACUGACGCUGAGGUGCGAAAGCGUGGGGAGCAAACAGG